This 523-nucleotide ribosomal RNA is filed under the name uncultured bacterium. RNAcentral describes it as "bacterial SSU rRNA". It matches the Rfam family "Bacterial small subunit ribosomal RNA", at positions 777 to 1297 of the family's 1533-position model. The record is from RNAcentral.
AAUAGAUACCCCGGUAGUCCACGCCGUAAACGAUGAGUGCUAAGUGUUAGAGGGUUUCCGCCCUUUAGUGCUGCAGCUAACGCAUUAAGCACUCCGCCUGGGGAGUACGGCCGCAAGGCUGAAACUCAAAGGAAUUGACGGGGGCCCGCACAAGCGGUGGAGCAUGUGGUUUAAUUCGAAGCAACGCGAAGAACCUUACCAGGUCUUGACAUCCUCUGCCAACCCUAGAGAUAGGGCGGUUCCCCUUCGGGGGACAGAGUGACAGGUGGUGCAUGGUUGUCGUCAGCUCGUGUCGUGAGAUGUUGGGUUAAGUCCCGCAACGAGCGCAACCCUUGAUCUUAGUUGCCAGCAUUCAGUUGGGCACUCUAAGGUGACUGCCGGUGACAAACCGGAGGAAGGUGGGGAUGACGUCAAAUCAUCAUGCCCCUUAUGACCUGGGCUACACACGUGCUACAAUGGAUGGUACAAAGAGCUGCGAACCCGCGAGGGUAAGCGAAUCUCAUAAAGCCAUUCUCAGUUCGGA